UGGUUCUGGCAUCGAUGAAGAACGCAGCGAAAUGCGAUAAGUAGUGUGAAUUGCAGAAUUCCGUGAAUCAUCGAAUCUUUGAACGCACAUUGCGCCUAUUGGCAUUCCAAUAGGCAUGCCUGUUCGAGCGUCAUUUAAAUCUUCAAGCCCUGCUUGGUGUUGGGCGCUGUCUCGGUGACUCUUUUUGGGUUGUUUCCGCAGACUCGCCUUGAAUAAAUUGGCAGCCAGCAAUUGGGUGUUGGAGCGCAGCACAAUUUGCGUUCUCAGCCUCAGUCGCUUUGGUGUCCACGAAGCUUAUUUUAACGUUUGACCUCGGAUCAGGUAGGGAUACCCGCUGA
This 338-nucleotide unclassified non-coding RNA is filed under the name uncultured fungus. RNAcentral's name for it is "partial contains 5.8S ribosomal RNA and internal transcribed spacer 2". The stretch from base 1 to 133 matches the Rfam family "5.8S ribosomal RNA", at positions 22 to 154 of the family's 154-position model. Lineage: Eukaryota; Fungi. The record is from RNAcentral.